This 391-nucleotide unclassified non-coding RNA is filed under the name fungal sp. RNAcentral describes it as "partial internal transcribed spacer region". The stretch from base 1 to 46 matches the Rfam family "Eukaryotic small subunit ribosomal RNA", at positions 1786 to 1831 of the family's 1831-position model. The record is from RNAcentral. Lineage: Eukaryota; Fungi.
AAGUCGUAACAAGGUUUCCGUAGGUGAACCUGCGGAAGGAUCAUUAUAAAAUGUUCAAACACAAACUGAUCGUGGCUGGUGAGUGUGUCCUUGGUGGUCGUAAGGCUGCCGGGCGCCAUCCGGUCCGGUCAACCAACAACUUGUGAACUGUCUAUGACCUCGAUUUCUUGCUUCGCCCUGUACAACAGGCGUGUGAGCGACGGCCUGACUCGCAGUGUGGUAGAACUGUGGUUCUCCGCGCUGUGACGAAAGUGCAGGCGCUUACGCGUACUGGAGUCGGGGCAAUGGAGCAUUUACAAACAAACCAGUCUGAAAUUGUCUAACAUUGUGUCUUACACACACAGAAUAUAUAUAAUAUAUACAACUUUUAACAAUGGAUCUCUUGGCUCCU